GCGGGGUUUUCCUUUGUGCUUGAUCUAACCAUGUGGUUGCAGACUCAGACUAAUACAUGGUUCUGUCAAGCACCAUGGAAGGUCUUGC
Danio rerio (zebrafish) is the source of this 88-nucleotide microRNA precursor. Ensembl annotates it as microRNA 218a-2. Its record names the gene mir218a-2. Lineage: Eukaryota; Metazoa; Chordata; Actinopteri; Cypriniformes; Danionidae. The record is from Ensembl.